RNAcentral lists this ribosomal RNA (406 nucleotides) under uncultured bacterium. RNAcentral describes it as "partial 16S ribosomal RNA". It matches the Rfam family "Bacterial small subunit ribosomal RNA", at positions 30 to 526 of the family's 1533-position model. The record is from RNAcentral.
AUUGAACGCUGGUGGCAGGCCUAACACAUGCAAGUCGAACGAGUGGCGGACGGGUGAGUAAUGUCUGGGAAACUGCCCGAUGGAGGGGGAUAACUACGGGAAACGGUAGCUAAUACCGCAUACUAUCGGAUGUGCACAGAUGGGAUUUGCUAGUAGGUGGGGUAACGGCUCACCUAGGCGACGAUCCCUAGCUGGUCUGAGAGGAUGACAAGCCACACUGGAACUGAGACACGUCACAGGCCCGUACGGGAGGCAGCAGUGGGGAAUAUUGCACAAUGCGCGCAAGCCUGAUGCAGCCAUGCCGAGUGUAUGAGAAAGGCCUUCGGGUCGUAAAGUACUUUCAGCGUGGAGGCGGUACCCGACGAAUAAGCACCGGCUAACUCCGUGCCAGCAGCCGCGGUAAUAC